AGAUUUGCACUAUCCUGAAUCUUCUGAAUUCUGUGUCUGUGUCUCCUUGGGGAAAGACACACGUAGGUCCUGGCCGUUUCUACCCGUGCUUUGGUGUUAAAGCAGCGGGGUGUCAUCAGAAUCAGUCCUUUGCCUGGGUCCCUAUAUGGCUGGCCAGUCUAUUUUCUAAUUGUUUGCUUUUUAUCUAUUUUUAAUGAUGUCCAUUACCUUGAGUGCUGUUUUUUAAGUGGGAAGGUUAAAACAUCAGUAAAGGAAGAAGAGAAAAUAAAUAAAUAGCCAGCCUCACUAUAUAAGCUCUUCCAAUUGUGGCUCCUUCUUUACCCAGGCAGAGGCAGUCCUGCAGGAGUACCUUAAGAAAAAAGAGGAUGUCGGCCGAACCAUACUUCAGAGCGAUAAAAACCUCACAGAGAAAGAGAAGGAAAUGGCAGAGGCCAAGGCGAAGGCUGAGGCAGCAGAACGAGAGCGAGAGCUCCAGAAGCAGAAGGUGGCUGAGCAGCAACAGAAGAUGGAGGAUCUGAAACGGAGCUACGAGAUGAACCGUCAGGAGCUGGAGGAGAAAAUGAAGAGAGAACGGGAGUUGCUACUGGAGGAGCAGCAGAAGAUGAUAGAAAGCAAACUUGCUGUAAAUAUCCUAGGCUUGUUUAGUAUCUGGGGCUGAGCCACCCUCCCCUCAUGCUUUCAGUUUCUUGGCUCAAUUUAUUUGUUUUCUGCGAGGAGCUGAAGAAACAGAAUGCCAUCAAUUCAAAGGAGUGGUUUUGUACUUCCCUGCCUAGACCAGUGGUUCUUAACCUUUGUUACUCAGGUGUUUUUGAACUGCAACUCCCAGAAACCUCAGCCAGCAGAGCUGAUGGUGAAGGCUUCUGGGAGUUGCAGUCCAAAAACAUCUGAGUAACAAAGGUUAAGAACCAGUGGCCUAGACCAUACCUCUGCCUCUCAUGUAUGUUUUUGAGCAGGCUGUGUUUCAUGCAGUGGCAUAGUGUGGGGCAGGGCAGAGGGGUGGUCGCCCCAGGCCACAGCCUUGUUGGGGACCUUUCGCGCCCCUGCACUCCAUUGUGCCACGGGUGUGUUUUUGAAUGGGUGCAUCGACUGUAAGAGCAGACAGACAGGCUUCUCCUGUGGCAGCCAUUUUCUGGGACUGGCCAUUCCAGGAUUGGCCCUCAAGCCCCAGAGGAUUGGAGGAAACCCUU
This 1187-nucleotide long non-coding RNA is filed under the name Pogona vitticeps (central bearded dragon). RNAcentral's name for it is "lncRNA (ENSPVIG00000003916.1)". The record is from RNAcentral. Lineage: Eukaryota; Metazoa; Chordata; Lepidosauria; Squamata; Agamidae.